RNAcentral lists this transfer RNA (91 nucleotides) under Bacteroidota bacterium. RNAcentral describes it as "Bacteroidetes bacterium (activated sludge metagenome) tRNA-Ser". It matches the Rfam family "tRNA". From Rfam's summary of the family: Transfer RNA (tRNA) molecules are approximately 80 nucleotides in length. Their secondary structure includes four short double-helical elements and three loops (D, anti-codon, and T loops). Lineage: Bacteria; Pseudomonadati; Bacteroidota. The record is from RNAcentral.
GGAGAGAUGUCCGAGCGGCCGAAGGAGCACGCUUGGAAAGCGUGUAUGCCCCACAAGGGUAUCGUGGGUUCGAAUCCCACUCUCUCCGCCA